GUUCCUAAACCAGGGCAGCAAGGUUUCAUGGGAAGGAGGACUGAAUGGGUCUGUAUAUUCCGUUGUAGGUAUGAAGUACUGGGCCUGAGACUUGUGGGGCAACAAAUGGGUUUUGCUGGUUCUGCAGAGAAGAUAAUCCUACUGGGGUUCCCUUCUGCCUUAUUGGUAGCAUCCCCAGAAAUUGUCAGCCAGAGACAGUGCUGUGAAGUGAAACCCCUCAACCUUCCCAGCUGAUACAUGUAUACUGGGAGUAGGAGAAAGAAGCUAGAGGAAGAGAGGGGAAAAACCCUAAAUGAGAGACUGACUAGCAACAUGGCACCUGAGCUUUAACUGUGAGUAAUGGAAACAGGCAGCUUCCUGAAUGGAAAUUUCAUACCAAGA
RNAcentral lists this long non-coding RNA (381 nucleotides) under Zonotrichia albicollis (white-throated sparrow). RNAcentral's name for it is "lncRNA (ENSZALG00000006647.1)". Lineage: Eukaryota; Metazoa; Chordata; Aves; Passeriformes; Passerellidae. The record is from RNAcentral.